UACGUAGGUGACCAGCGUUGUCCGGAUUUACUGGGCGUAAAGAGCGCGCAGGCGGUCGUUCAAGUCGAGUGUGAAAGCCCCCGGCUCAACUGGGGAGGGUCACUCGAUACUGAUCGACUCGAAGGCAGGAGAGGGAAGCGGAAUUCCCGGUGUAGUGGUGAAAUGCGUAGAUAUCGGGAGGAACACCAGUGGCGAAGGCGGCUUUCUGGCCUGCUCUUGACGCUGAGGCGCGAAAGCUAGGGUAGCAAACGGG
RNAcentral lists this ribosomal RNA (253 nucleotides) under uncultured bacterium. Its description in RNAcentral is "partial 16S ribosomal RNA". It matches the Rfam family "Bacterial small subunit ribosomal RNA", at positions 524 to 776 of the family's 1533-position model. The record is from RNAcentral.